GGGGCGGUAGCUCAGUGGUAGAGCAGGAGACUUUUAAUCUCUUGGUCGCAGGUUCGAAUCCUGUCCGCCCUACCA
This 75-nucleotide transfer RNA is filed under the name Dehalococcoidia bacterium. RNAcentral's name for it is "tRNA-Lys". It matches the Rfam family "tRNA". From Rfam's summary of the family: Transfer RNA (tRNA) molecules are approximately 80 nucleotides in length. Their secondary structure includes four short double-helical elements and three loops (D, anti-codon, and T loops). Lineage: Bacteria; Bacillati; Chloroflexota; Dehalococcoidia. The record is from RNAcentral.